GGGGAUGAAGGAAGUCUGAUCUUCGAGAAAUUCACAAUGAACUGUUAAGAAUCAAGAAAGAGCUGAAGAAGAUACUUGACGAUAUCGAAAAGAGCAAGAUUGAUCUCUGUAAAAGAGCAGAUGAGAUCGAGAUGAGAGAGAUGGCACUAUCCCAUAGAAAUGAGGAGGUUGUGAACAAGGAGAUGACGCUUGUUGUACGCGAAGCUGAAUUAAGACGUUCACGCACACUACUCCAGGUGUAUUGGGCAUUUACAUUUGUUGUAGCAUGUUAUUUGUAUUGUCGAUAAGUGACUUAGGAUUAGUAACUUAGUCUGAUUGUGUAGAUUAAGACACUCAGAAUAUUUUCAAAGU
Juglans microcarpa x Juglans regia is the source of this 351-nucleotide long non-coding RNA. RefSeq lists it as uncharacterized. The record is from RefSeq and is a predicted model, not a curated record. The transcript has 2 exons. NCBI's taxonomy places the organism in Eukaryota, Viridiplantae, Streptophyta, Magnoliopsida, Fagales, Juglandaceae.